AUCAAUGCGAUAGGGUUGGAUGCAGUCAGGGUCAUUACACGGCCACCGUUCGCGGUGCACCUGGCUGGGAUGCCGUGAAAGGAUUGUGAGUCAUCCGAUCUGGGGGCUGGCCGUUCGAAAAUCGAUGGGCUGGGUGCUUCACCUGGGCCGUGGGAAAGCCACCGGCUACUCCGCCCACGUACAUGUGUAGUGCCUCCCGGGGAGCCCUACCUCCUGAAGAACCAUCCCAGUCCCCUUCCCGUUCCCGAUUCGCAUCCUCUGAUAUGGAACCAAAACAUGCGCACAGAAUGCGAAAGCGCACUGCGAGGGCCAUUUUUAACCGUGAAAAGUGUUCAUCCAAAUCUGCGGGAAGCUCAGCAUCCCAUCCGUCCUGAGGACUCCUCCCUGCCCUUUGACAUGGCCUAUUUAACUAGAUUCGUCUUGGGGUCGGCAAUGCCUCGCACAUCACCGCAAUAUGACUCUAAAAACUGGGUGGAUUGUUAUCUUUUUUCAAAUUUCUUAUUGUUAGCAAUUACCUUCAAAAUGGUUGUGACUAAUUUAAUUUUAAAAUAUUAAACAAAAUCCAAGCAUU
Drosophila biarmipes is the source of this 571-nucleotide long non-coding RNA. RefSeq lists it as uncharacterized. The transcript is spliced from 2 exons. NCBI's taxonomy places the organism in Eukaryota, Metazoa, Arthropoda, Insecta, Diptera, Drosophilidae. The record is from RefSeq and is a predicted model, not a curated record.